AUAACGGUCCUAAGGUAGCGAAAUUCCUUGUCAGGUAAGUUCUGACCCGCACGAAAGGCGUAACGAUUUGGGCGCUGUCUCAGCUGUAGACUCGGUGAAGUCUUAGUACCUGUGAAGAUGCAGGUUACCCGCGACUAGACGGAAAGACCCCAUGGAGCUUUACUGUAGCUUGAUAUUGGACUUUGAUGCAAGAUGUACAGGAUAGGUAGGAGACUGAGAGACAUGCACGCCAGUGUGUGAGGAGUCAAUGUUGGGAUACUACUCUUCUUGUAUUGGAGUUCUAACCGGAUGCCAUGGAACUGGCAACGGGACAGUGUCAGGUGGGCAGUUUGACUGGGGCGGUCGCCUCCCAAAGAGUAACGGAGGCGCCCAAAGAUACCCUCAGCUUGGAUGGAAAUCAAGCGCAGAGUGCAAAGGCAUAAGGGUGUUUGACUGCGAGACCUACAAGUCGAGCAGGGACGAAAGUCGGGCUUAGUGAUCCGGCGGUGCUGAAUGGAAAGGCCGUCGCUCAACGGAUAAAAGCUACCCUGGGGAUAACAGGCUGAUCUCCCCCAAGAGUCCACAUCGACGGGGAGGUUUGGCACCUCGAUGUCGGCUCAUCGCAUCCUGGGGCUGAAGUAGGUCCCAAGGGUUGGGCUGUUCGCCCAUUAAAGCGGUACGCGAGCUGGGUUCAGAACGUCGUGAGACAGUUCGGUCCCUAUCUGUCGUGGGCGUAGGAAGUUUGAGAAGAUCUGUCCUCAGUACGAGAGGACCGGGAUGGACAUAUCAAUGGUGCACCAGUUGUCACGCCAGUGGCACAGCUGGGUAGCUAAAUAUGGAAGGGAUAAACGCUGAAGGCAUCUAAGUGUGAAACCCACUUCAAGAUGAGACUUCCCAUUACGCAAGUAAGUAAGACCCCUUAAAGACGAUAAGGUUGAUAGGUCAGGAGUGUAAGCAUGGCGACAUGUUCAGCGGACUGAUACUAAUAGGUCGAGGACUUAACCUA
RNAcentral lists this ribosomal RNA (985 nucleotides) under human gut metagenome. Its description in RNAcentral is "bacterial LSU rRNA". It matches the Rfam family "Bacterial large subunit ribosomal RNA", at positions 1942 to 2925 of the family's 2925-position model. The record is from RNAcentral.